Molecule: ribosomal RNA, 103 nt
Filed under: uncultured bacterium
Lineage: Bacteria
Description: partial 16S ribosomal RNA
Rfam family: Bacterial small subunit ribosomal RNA
Source: RNAcentral
CCUUGUACACACCGCCCGUCAAGUCACCUGAAUUGUCUGCACCCGAAGCCAGUGGCCAAACCGUAAGGAUGGAGCUGUCUAAGGUGUGGGGAGUAAGGGGACU